GUAUGCUAUACGAAGUUAUUACGCAGCUCGUGUUUCUUCCAGCCCAUCGUUUCUCAUGAUGUACUCUGCAUAGAAGUUCAAUAAGCAGGGUGACAAUAUACAGCCUCAAUGUACUCCUUUUCCUAUUUGGAACCAGUCUGUUGUUCCAUGUCCAGUUCUAACUGCUUCCUGACCUGCAUACAGAUUUCUCAAGAGGCAGGUCAGGUGGUCUGGUAUUCCCAUCUCUUUCAGAAUUUUCCACAGUUUAUUGUGAUCCACACAGUCAAAGGCUUUGGCAUAGUCAAUAAAGCAGAAAUAGAUGUUCUCUUGCUUUUUCCAUGAUCCAGCGGAUGUUGGCAAUUUGAUCUCUGGUUCCUCUGCCUUUUCUAAAACCAGCUUGAACAUCAGGGAGUUCAUGGUUCACGUAUUGCUGAAGCCUGGCUUGGAGAAUUUUGAGCAUUACUUUACUAGCAUGUGAGAUGAGUGCAAUUGUGUGGUAGUUUGAGCAUUCUUUGGCAUUGCCUUUCUUUGGGUUUGGAAUGAAAACUGACUUUUUCCAGUCCUGUGGCCACUGCUGAGUUUUCCAAGUUUGCUGGCAUAUUGAGUGCAGCACUUUCACAGCAUCAUCUUUCAGGAUUUGAAAUAGCUCCACUGGAAUUCCAUCACCUCCACUAGCUUUGUUCAUAGUGAUGCUUUCUAAGGCCCACUUGACUUCACAUUCCAGGAUGUCUGGCUCUAGGUGAGUGAUCACACCAUCUUGAUUAUCUGGAUCAUGAAGAUCUUUUUUGUGCAGUUCUUCUGUGUAUUCAUGCCACCUCUUCUUAAUAUCUUCUGCUUCUUUUAGGUCCACACCAUUUCUGUCCUUUAUUGAGCCCAUCUUUGCAUGAAAUGUUCCCUUGGUAUCUCUAAUUUUCUUGAAGAGAUCUCUAGUCUUUCCCAUUCUGUUGUUUUCCUCUAUUUCUUUGCAUUGAUCACUGAAGAAGACUUUCUUAUCUCUCCUUGCUAUUCUUUGGAACUCUGCAUUCAUAUGCUUAUAUCUUUCCUUUUCUCCUUGGCUUUUCACCUCUCUUCUUUUCACAGCUAUUUGUAAGGCCUCCCCAGACAGCCAUUUUGUUUUUUAACAUUUAUUUUCCAUGGGGAUGGUCUUGAUCCCUGUCUCUUGUACAAUGUCAUGAACCUCAUUCCAUAGUUCAUCAGGCACUCUAUCAAAUCUAGGUCCUUAAUUCUAUUUCUCACUUCCAUUGUACAAUCAUAAGGGAUUUGAUUUAUAAAUAUCAUGAUGGAGAAGAAGAAAUGAUGUAAUCUGUUACAUAUAAAUUUGCAUGUUAAGUGUUUGGCUGGAAAGGGGUAACCUCUGCAGCUCCUCUCUGUGGAAAUUCUUUUUUAGCAUCUUAAAACACAGUGUUUCAUCCAACUUGGAGAGGAAAGACUUGCAUUUGAUUCCUUAAAGUCUCAUAGUAACAUGUUAAAUAUGUCAAGAUAUUAUUUUUCUAGAGCUAAAUUCUUUUUAUAAUAAAUUACUUUUAUUAAUGAAAACAUAACUUCACAGGAAUUACUUAAAUGCAUUUUUAAAUCUGUUUUUAUGAUGGAUUAUAGAAGACAGGAUAAAUGAGCUGCCUGUGAUUUUGAUUUAACUUUCAAACACAUGUUAAUUCUAAGCUUUCUAAUGUUUACACAUGGUCAGCCCUGUGUUACAAUCAGUCCUAUUUAUAUUAACUAAAUGAAUGAAAAUAAUGAAUUUAAAUAAUGAAAUAUGUGAAAAAUUCACUCCACGAAUAACAAUUUAUAAUGAUGUGUACAGAAUAGCUCUUUAAUAUAAGGAUUUAGUUGUAGUCAUCUUGUACACUAAUGCCAAAUCUCAAUACUUGUAAAAAGAAAGAUCUAAAUAUUUACCCAACCCCAUAAUAUAGCCCUCAUUUAAUUUU
Molecule: long non-coding RNA, 1904 nt
Filed under: Ovis aries (sheep)
Lineage: Eukaryota; Metazoa; Chordata; Mammalia; Artiodactyla; Bovidae
Description: lncRNA (ENSOARG00000026261.1)
Source: RNAcentral